AUCACUUCUUGGCCUUUUGGCUAAAAUCAAGUGUAGUAUCUGUUUCUUACCUAAUCCCAAGUAUCAAGUGAAAUCAAGAUUCAGUGGUGAUCAAGCAGAGAAAAAAUGAUUAUUAGACUGAGAAAAAGACUUGUAUUCCAGUAUUAUUUUUCUUAAACAUUUGUCAGUGCUGCUGUCUUGUGCUGCUGCUAAGUUGUUGGCCCAU
This is a small nuclear RNA of Heterocephalus glaber (naked mole-rat), 205 nucleotides long. Its record names the gene U2. It matches the Rfam family "U2 spliceosomal RNA". Rfam says of the family: U2 is a small nuclear RNA (snRNA) component of the spliceosome (involved in pre-mRNA splicing). Complementary binding between U2 snRNA (in an area lying towards the 5' end but 3' to hairpin I) and the branchpoint sequence (BPS) of the intron results the bulging out of an unpaired adenosine, on the BPS, which initiates a nucleophilic attack at the intronic 5' splice site, thus starting the first of two transesterification reactions that mediate splicing. NCBI's taxonomy places the organism in Eukaryota, Metazoa, Chordata, Mammalia, Rodentia, Bathyergidae. The record is from Ensembl.